UGUAUAUAUUGUGAAAUUAUCACCACAAUAAAUCUAGCCCAUAUUCAUCACUGCACAUAGUUAACAAAAUUCUAUUUUCUUAUGAUGAUAACUUUUAAGAUGUACUCUCUUAGCAACUUUUAAAUAUGGAAUACAGCAUGUAGUCACCAUGCUAUACUUUACAUGCCCCCGACUUACCUAUUUGAUAGCUGAAACUGCAUAGGCUUUGACCCCUUUUGCCCAUUCACCCAUCUCCCACUGCCCCCACUGUCAUCCAGCAGUCUGUCCUCUAACUCCCAGUUAUCUUUUGUAAGAUUCAUGCUCUAGCUUUUGGACAAACAAAUAGGUUUCUUUCACAGAAAGAUGGGGCAGGGAUUUUCAAUCAGCUAUACGGGCAUUGCCGUAGAGGUGGUAGUCUUUUUAGCACUGUCUCUCCAAUUAUUACAGGGGCCUGCGGGUCCCAGGAACUGCCACCCUCACCUGAGCGAAGUGAUCAAGAGGCAUCCGCUGAGUGGCAGCCGCAAACUGUAGCUCACCAAGCUCCUUGUCCAGGCUAUUUCUCAGGCAGGAGUACUGGAAUGGGUUGUCAUUUCCUCCCCCAAGUGUUCUUCCCUACCCAGGGUUUGAACCCUCAUCACUUGAGUCUCCUGGUAUUGGCAAGUGGAUCUUUACCACAAGCGACACCUGGGAGUCCUGCAGAGACUCAGAUACUAAAAAUUAAAACCUGGGCACCAGCUGCAUGUAAAAAAAUCCUUUCAGAGACACUGGUGCUCUAGAGCAUAGUAGAAUGAGAAUGCAGACAUAAUACUCACCAGGAUGGGGAAAAGGUUAAAAAAAAACCGCUGCAGUUUAAAUAAAAGUGGGCUGGGAUUCCAGUGGUUGGCUCACAGCGGAGGAGGCGAAGGCAGUGAUGCGACCCCAACUCCAGAGGGCGCCCAGCCACCUCAAAUACGGGUCAGGCCAAGCCUGCGGCUCAGGCUGACGCUCCAAGGUGAGCAAGUGAGUGCCUUCCACGGGACGCCUGGGUGCUUCUCCCCCCAGCCUCUUCCAUACUGGGCCCUGGGGCAGGUCCAAGAAAAAAGAAAAUCUUGGAAAACCAGUGUUUUCCUCAGCUGAAUUCAAAAUGAAGCAAAAAGCAUCUGCAAAACCUGGGCAACUGAAAAGUGAGGAAAUCCAGUCUGCUUCCAUAUAAGAAAAAAUGACAGCGCUGAAUCUGAAGGUAACAAAACACUAUUCAUUUUCUAUGUCUUGGUAUACAGACACAGCUAUGUAAGUGACAGGGAGAUGUAAGUAGAGUGAAUUCCGUAUAAACGUGUGACUUACAGAAUGAUGAAAUGAACAUUCAGUAAGUAAACAGAGAAAAGGUUUCUGAAAAUUUUUCUAAGAUGUUGUACAAUUAAAGUCAUAUGAAUUUCUGAUAAGAAAAUGUCUUUUUCUACAAAAUGAACUCUACAAUAUGAUCUGGCAUGCUGGCAGCUACACUGAAGCAAAAGAAAAGGUAAUUAAGUCAUGUUUACUGUGAACAUUGAACUAGAGUUCAAGAUAGGUCGAAAGGUUCAAGUCGAAUAUGGCUAGCCAGGGGAUAACCAUUAUUGCUAAGUUAAGCAGACAGAUAAAAGUAGGGCACAGGGCUUACUGAUUUUCAACUUACAAGCAUCAACCACCAAACUUCUCCAAAUUGCACAUGCAAAACCUUAAAUCACCAUCAAUGUGAAAGCCAUUAGAUAACAUUAUAUUCAGAUUCCACUUUUUUCUCCCUCAGGUUUAAAGCCAGUGCUGUUUUAGAUCACUGUAUAAGAUCAAUUUACUUUCUAUAACAUUGUUCUGUUACAUCUUUUUUCAUUUGUAUUGUUAAACAUAAAUCAUAUAGAACAUGAACACACUGCAAAGAAAACUCAACUACAUGGUAGUUUAAAUGUAGAAGUAAACAGGUCGAUAAUCAUAAAUAACUUAUGUCUUAGUUAUGUCUUGGGUCUAUUAUUUUAAUGAUUACAGUUUGAGAUGUCCCAUAGAAUUGGACUGUGAUGCUUUUGCAUACAUACAAAGAUUUUUUUAAAGCAUUGGAAAAAAUAUAUUCACUCUGUUUAAUUGCGAAGCUAUUCCCCUUAAUUUCCUAUGCUGAGGGUGGGGAGAGGGAUAAAGAGGAAGGAAGGGAGGGAGAAGAAGGGAAAGAAAUUAGCCCCAGUCAACUGAAUGAUGAAUUAAUUUCUAAUAUAAUACAAGAAGCUGACUGAGGACACACUGAAAACUUAGUAACUGGCUUCGUAAUCUUCCAAUUUAUCCCCUACCACCUAGUGUGUCUUUUCCACAUUUCACUUAACAUGCACAUACCCACACAGAUUUUUGGACACAUUUUUAUAAAAUGCGAUAUUUUGUAGAACACUUGUGGAAAAUAUUGAGAUGGUAUAUGAGAAAAAUAUCCUGCAAUCAAAUAGUUUUGGGAAACACUGGAUCACAAAAAUUGAAUAGGGUUAUCUACUGCCAGACUUCUAAGUGCAUUUGUGUGUGCAAGCUAUGUAUUCCUCCAAAUCAUUGGACAGUGAAGCUCUUAAAGGAGAAAUUGUGUAUUGCUGUUCUGAGGGGCAGACUUUGGGAACAUUUCACCUUAUACUUGCCAUGAAUUUCAUUUACUCUUUAACUGUAAAUUCAGCUUUUAUCCAUUUGGAGACCAGGGAUAUUCUAAGUCAAGGAGCCAAGAAGCCAUAUAUUAAUAUUACCUCUACUCUAUCUUCUUACUUUGCAUGCAGAGCCUGCGUUUUUAUCCCCUUGCCUUAUAACUAAGCCUUCUAUCUAAAACCUACAAAUCAGAAACCAGAUAUCUGUCUUAUUUUCCUGUCCUAGUCUUUGAUAUGAAUUGUCCUUCCAAGACCUGGAAGUACUGACCUGAAACCCAAGUGGUCUAUAUACAGUUCAGUUCAGUUCAGUCAUUCAGUCGUAUCUGACUCUUAGCGACCCCAUGGACCGCGGCACGCCAGAACUCCCAGUCCAUCACCAACUCUUGGAGUUUACCCAAACUCAUAUCCAUUGAGUCGGUGAUGCCAUCCAACCAUCGCAUCCUCUGUUGUCCCCUUCUCCUCCUGCCCUCAAUGUUUCCCAGCUUCAGGUCUUUUCAAAUGAGUCAGCUCUUCAAUCAAGUGGCCAAAGUAUUAGAGUUUCAGCUUCAGCAUCAGUCCCCCCAAUGAAUAUUCAAGACUGAUUCCUUUUGGAUGGACUGGUUGGAUCUCCUUGCAGUCCAAGGGACUCUCAAGAGUCUUCUCCAAUACCACAGUUCAAAAGCAUCAAUUCUUCGGCACUCAGCCUUCUUCACAGUCUAACUCUCACAUCCAUACAUGACCACAGGAAAAACCAUAGCCUUGACUAGACAGACCUUUGUUGGCAAAGUAAUGUCUCCGCUUUUGAAUAUGCUGUCUAGGUUGGUCAUAACUUUCCUUCCAAGGAGUAAGCGUCUUUUAAUUUCAUGGCUGCAAUCACCAUCUGCAGUGAUUUUGGAGGCCCCCAAAAUAAAGUCUGACACUGUUUCCACUGUUUCCCCAUCUAUUUCCCAUGAAGUGAUGGGACCAGAUGCCAUGAUCUUCAUUUUCUGAAUGUUGAGCUUUAAGCCAACUUUUUCACUCUCCUCUUUCACUAUCAUCAAGAGGCUUUUAGUUCCUCUUCACUUUCUGCCAUAAGGGUGGUGUCAUCUGCAUAUCUGAGGUUAUUGAUAUUUCUCCU
RNAcentral lists this long non-coding RNA (3690 nucleotides) under Ovis aries (sheep). RNAcentral's name for it is "lncRNA (ENSOARG00000025318.1)". The record is from RNAcentral. Lineage: Eukaryota; Metazoa; Chordata; Mammalia; Artiodactyla; Bovidae.